Molecule: ribosomal RNA, 502 nt
Filed under: uncultured bacterium
Lineage: Bacteria
Description: partial 16S ribosomal RNA
Rfam family: Bacterial small subunit ribosomal RNA
Source: RNAcentral
AUUGAACGCUGGCGGAAUGCUUUACACAUACAAGUCGAACGGCAGCAUAGGUGCUUGCACCUGAUGGCGAGUGGCGAACGGGUGAGCAAUAUAUCGGAACGUGCCCAGUCGUGGGGGAUAACGUAGUGAAAAUUACGCUAAUACCGCAUACGAUCUAAGGAUGAAAGCGGGGGAUCGCAAGACCUCGCGCGAUUGGAGCGGCCGAUAUCAGAUUAGGUAGUUGGUGAGGUAAAGGCUCACCAAGCCAACGAUCUGUAGCUGGUCUGAGAGGACGACCAGCCACACUGGGACUGAGACACGGCCCAGACUCCUACGGGAGGCAGCAGUGGGGAAUUUUGGACAAUGGACGCAAGUCUGAUCCAGCCAUUCCGCGUGCAGGACGAAGGCCUUCGGGUUGUAAACUGCUUUUGUGCGGAACGAAAAGGUCUCUAUUAAUACUAGGGGCUCAUGACGGUACCGUAAGAAUAAGCACCGGCUAACUACGUGCCAGCAGCCGCCGUAA